GACGAACGCUGGCGGCGUGCCUAAUACAUGCAAGUAGAACGCACAGUUUAUACCGUAGCUUGCUACACCAUAAACUGUGAGUUGCGAACGGGUGAGUAACGCGUAGGUAACCUGCCUGGUAGCGGGGGAUAACUAUUGGAAACGAUAGCUAAUACCGCAUAAUAUUGAUUAUUGCAUGAUAAUUGAUUGAAAGAUGCUAUUGCAUCACUACCAGAUGGACCUGCGUUGUAUUAGCUAGUAGGUGAGGUAACGGCUCACCUAGGCGACGAUACAUAGCCGACCUGAGAGGGUGAUCGGCCACACUGGGACUGAGACACGGCCCAGACUCCUACGGGAGGCAGCAGUAGGGAGUCUUCGGGAAUGGACGAAAGUCUGACCGAGCAACGCCGCGUGAGUGAAGAAGGUUUUCGGAUCGUAAAGCUCUGUUGUAAGAGAAGAACGGGUGUGAGAGUGGAAAGUUCACACUGUGACGGUAUCUUACCAGAAAGGGACGGCUAACUACGUG
Molecule: ribosomal RNA, 505 nt
Filed under: uncultured bacterium
Lineage: Bacteria
Description: partial 16S ribosomal RNA
Rfam family: Bacterial small subunit ribosomal RNA
Source: RNAcentral